RNAcentral lists this ribosomal RNA (1600 nucleotides) under Fomitopsis ramentacea. RNAcentral describes it as "eukaryotic LSU rRNA". The stretch from base 624 to 1600 matches the Rfam family "Eukaryotic large subunit ribosomal RNA", at positions 1 to 961 of the family's 3401-position model. The record is from RNAcentral. Lineage: Eukaryota; Fungi; Basidiomycota; Agaricomycetes; Polyporales; Fomitopsidaceae.
AGGAAGUAAAAGUCGUAACAAGGUUUCCGUAGGUGAACCUGCGGAAGGAUCAUUAAUGAAUUUUGAAACGGGUUGUAGCUGGCCUUACGGGGCAUUUUGUGCACGCCCUGCUCAUUUGUCCCCAUCUCACACCUGUGCACACUCUGUAGGAUGGUUAUAGCGGUGAAGCCUUCAGUGGUUUUGCUAUGCGUAGCCUUCCUAUGUUUUAUCACACACUACUCAGUUUAAAGAAUGUCCUUUGCGUCUAACGCAUUUAAAUACAACUUUCAGCAACGGAUCUCUUGGCUCUCGCAUCGAUGAAGAACGCAGCGAAAUGCGAUAAGUAAUGUGAAUUGCAGAAUUCAGUGAAUCAUCGAAUCUUUGAACGCACCUUGCGCUCCUUGGUAUUCCGAGGAGCAUGCCUGUUUGAGUGUCAUGAAAUUCUCAACUCCCUUUCACUUGUGAACAUGGGAUGUUGGAUGUGGAGGUUUUUGCUGGAUGCUCUUAUGCAUUCAGCUCCUCUUGAAUGCAUUAGCUUCAACCUUUUGUGGAUCAGCUUCGGUGUGAUAAUUGUCUACGCCGUUCUGUGAAGCAAUAUAUAUGUUAGAGCUUCCAAUCGUGUCCUGUACACAAUUCUUGACCUUUGACCUCAAAUCAGGUAGGAUUACCCGCUGAACUUAAGCAUAUCAAUAAGCGGAGGAAAAGAAACUAACAAGGAUUCCCCUAGUAACUGCGAGUGAAGCGGGAAAAGCUCAAAUUUAAAAUCUGGUGGUCUUUGGCCAUCCGAGUUGUAGUCUGGAGAAGUGCUUUCCGCGCUGGACCGUAUACAAGUCUCUUGGAACAGAGCGUCAUAGAGGGUGAGAAUCCCGUCUUUGAUACGGACUACCAGUGCUUUGUGAUGCGCUCUCAAAGAGUCGAGUUGUUUGGGAAUGCAGCUCAAAAUGGGUGGUAAAUUCCAUCUAAAGCUAAAUAUUGGCGAGAGACCGAUAGCGAACAAGUACCGUGAGGGAAAGAUGAAAAGCACUUUGGAAAGAGAGUUAAACAGUACGUGAAAUUGCUGAAAGGGAAACGCUUGAAGUCAGUCGCGUUGGCCAGGACUCAGCCUUGCUUUUUUGCUUGGUGCACUUUCUGGUUGACGGGCCAGCAUCGAUUUUGACCACUGGAAAAAGGCUAGGGGAAUGUGGCACCUUCGGGUGUGUUAUAGCCCUUAGUCACAUACGGUGGUUGGGAUCGAGGACCGCAGCACGCCUUCAAUGGCCGGGGUUCGCCCACGUUCGUGCUUAGGAUGCUGGCGUAAUGGCUUUAAACGACCCGUCUUGAAACACGGACCAAGGAGUCUAACAUGCCUGCGAGUGUUUGGGUGGUAAACCCGAGCGCGUAAUGAAAGUGAAAGUUGAGAUCCCUGUCGUGGGGAGCAUCGACGCCCGGACCUGAUCUUCGGUGAUGGCUCUGCGGUAGAGCAUGUAUGUUGGGACCCGAAAGAUGGUGAACUAUGCCUGAAUAGGGUGAAGCCAGAGGAAACUCUGGUGGAGGCUCGUAGCGAUUCUGACGUGCAAAUCGAUCGUCAAAUUUGGGUAUAGGGGCGAAAGACUAAUCGAACCAUCUAGUAGCUGGUUCCUGC